Molecule: RNA transcript, 1272 nt
Organism: Notothenia coriiceps (black rockcod)
Lineage: Eukaryota; Metazoa; Chordata; Actinopteri; Perciformes; Nototheniidae
Gene: arl16
Gene name: ADP-ribosylation factor-like 16
Exons: 5
Source: RefSeq, a predicted model, not a curated record
GCGUUGCCUUGGUGGCAAGUGAAGCUAUAACGACUACAUGCUAGCAUUAGCUUCGGUAUGCUCCUGAACAAAAAUGAACAGCAAUGACAUUUGUCUGCUUCUUGGAGCAACUGGCGUCGGGAAAACGUUGUUGCUGAAACGUCUACAAAUUUACAGCUCAGUUUGCAUGGAUUGGAGGAACUGGGCGAAACUCCUUCUACCCUGCCUACAGUAGGAACCAACCUGACAGACCUGAAACUGAAAAAGAAGAAGGUGACAUUGAGAGAGCUGGGAGGCUGCAUGGGUCCUAUAUGGCCGAGUUACUUCAAAGACUGCUCAUCUGUAAUUUUCAUGGUGGACUCAGCCAACAUUGCUCAGAUAUCCGCCUCCUGUAUCCAGCUGCUGUCAGUUCUCUCUGCUGAGCAUUUGCACAAUGCCUCUGUGCUUAUUCUAUUCAACAAGAGGGACAUGCCCUGCACUAUGAGUCUCGUGGAGAUAAAGUCGCUGUUCAGAAUGGAUGACAUCAUUGCAUCUGCUACUCAGCCGAUCACAACACAGGAACUCAGUGCCCGCUCUGGACAGGGACUUCAGGAGGUGCUGAGCUGGCUGGAGUCCAUCAUAGUCAAGUGAAAUAUCAUAUGUUUUUUCCUUAUGAAAAUAUGCUCCUCCUACAAGACUUGAUCUAGCCUCUUGGCAAGAUAUGUCUGAAAUGUCUGUGUGCAAAGACAAUGUACACACAGUUUGGAUGGACUUAAUGAUGUGUUAAACUGAUGAACUGGUGCUGUAUCUUUGGUUCCAUAUACAUAUGGCUACUAUUCAACAGUGUGAAUGGGAAAGGAAAUAUAUUAGUGAUAUUAUGGCAGGAUUUUGUGAUUAUUAAGUACCAUAACUCUUGUUAAACCAAAUAAUACUGUAGAUCUUAACAACAGUUAGUAGUUUUUAUACUGUCACCUUUACCAAUUAAAUGCCACAGAUACGCUGCUGGAAUGUAUGACUAACUGCAGUUCGAUUCUCAUGUCUAAGUAAAGACUUGUUUUAUAUUAAAACAAAAUAGUCUGAUUUCUGUAAGUGAUGCAGCAUGGUGGCAAUGAGUCACUACCAGCAGGGGGCAUAAAGUUAACAAAUACUGUAAGCCUUAGAUUUCAUAAUUUCAUUAUAAUGCAAUGAUAUCACAGAAAAAUUAGAACAUACAAAAUAAUAAAACCAACUAAAGAAUGACGCAGUGUUGCAAUUACACUCUUAUAUUUGAUGAUUCAGUGGAUCACAAGCAAUUAAUUAAACUCUUAAUUAUUA